This 223-nucleotide long non-coding RNA is filed under the name Capsella rubella. RNAcentral describes it as "long non-coding RNA (CRUB_LNC003126)". Lineage: Eukaryota; Viridiplantae; Streptophyta; Magnoliopsida; Brassicales; Brassicaceae. The record is from RNAcentral.
UGAAUUUGCGAAAACAAAAAAAAAUGUCGUUAUCUUUAAAAUAAAAUAAUUAUAUAAAAAAAAAAGAAACUAACUCAAAAUUUUUAUUAAAUAAUUUAAAUUAUUUAAUGGUGCAUAUGUAAAACUUGGGGUUGAAUAUUUUGGGAUAUGUGAGCCACAACAACAAAUAAGCAAGUGCUUCUAAUGCCCCACCAAAUAUGGUGAAGCGAAAGGCAGCCGGCCC